Molecule: ribosomal RNA, 220 nt
Filed under: Perilampus ruficornis
Lineage: Eukaryota; Metazoa; Arthropoda; Insecta; Hymenoptera; Perilampidae
Description: partial 28S ribosomal RNA
Rfam family: Eukaryotic large subunit ribosomal RNA
Source: RNAcentral
UUUCCCUCAGGAUAGCUGGCACUCGUUUAAUGCGAGUCUCAUCUGGUAAAGCGAAUGAUUAGAGGCCUCUUGGGGCCGAAACGACCUCAACCUAUUCUCAAACUUUAAAUGGGUGAGAUCUCUGGCUUGCUUGAAACUUGAAGCCACGAGAUUAACAUUGUAAAAAUGGAUCAGAGUGCCAAGUGGGCCAAUUUUGGUAAGCAGAAACUGGGCUGUGGGA